AUGGAAAAAAUCAUUCGAGUCAUUGGAGAAGAUGAAAAUAUUCAUUCUCAACCUCUAUAUGGAACAGAUGCAUUGUCUUCUUGGAGAGAAUCAGCUAAUCAAGGUACAUUGGCCCCAAAGUAUCUUGAAGCAAUGGCUAUAAUUGAUCGCACACAGGAGAAGUUAAUAGAGGUCGAAAGCCGAGCCAGACAAGCUGAGGAGAGGUUUGAUGAUGUGAAUGAAAGACUUCAUUAUACCAUUAUAAGAAAUAAAGAACUGGAGAAAGAGUUAGAGGAAGUAUUGAUGAAGUAUAAAAUGAAGGAGCCUGAAGUGGAAGAAGAAGAAAAUGAAGGAGAAAGAGAAGAAGAAAAAGAAGAAGAAGAAGAAGAAAUCAGACCAUCAGACAGAGCCUCAAAAUCUCCAAAGAAAGAGAUACAGCGCAAGGAGGGUUCUAAAUCCAAACUCCGGACUAAAUCCAAGACGAAACCCAAAUAGCAACCACAGGAUGCUGGGCUACACCACACCACAGCCAUCCCAGAUAUCUGUGCACUUUUGAACUGACAGUGUGGCUCAACUGACGGGACUCCCUUUGCAGCAGACAACUCAGGAGCAUCUUCUCUUUAAAAGUCACAGUGAUGGCUCUAGGCAAUCAAUCAGUUAGCUUAUUUCCAAAAUUAAAAAUGGUUUGUGUAAAGGUUUUCUAGCCUCUUCAGUUGAUUUCCCAGUGGAAGUCUAUGAAAAGUGUCAGCUUCUGUCAAGAAAAUUAUGCUUUCUGAGGACUUUGAACUCUGCAGAGGAGAAUGGCAAAUAAAAAGCAUUACUUUUUUUUCAGUUUAAAAAAGGGGAUCCUGAUAACACUGUUAGUUUUCUGCAGCAUUUUCAGAUU
This 865-nucleotide long non-coding RNA is filed under the name Capra hircus (goat). Its description in RNAcentral is "lncRNA (ENSCHIG00000001038.1)". The record is from RNAcentral. Lineage: Eukaryota; Metazoa; Chordata; Mammalia; Artiodactyla; Bovidae.